AUACGGAGGGUGCAAGCGUUAAUCGGAAUUACUGGGCGUAAAGAGUACGUAGGUGGUUUGUUAAGUCAGAUGUGAAAGCCCCGGGCUCAACCUGGGAACUGCAUUUGAAACUGGCAAACUAGAGUAUGGUAGAGGGGGGUAGAAUUUCUAGUGUAGCGGUGAAAUGCGUAGAUAUUAGAAGGAAUACCAGUGGCGAAGGCGGCCCCCUGGACCAAUACUGACACUGAGGUACGAAAGCGUGGGUAGCGAACAGAAUUAGAUACCCUUGUAGUCC
RNAcentral lists this ribosomal RNA (274 nucleotides) under uncultured bacterium. RNAcentral describes it as "partial 16S ribosomal RNA". It matches the Rfam family "Bacterial small subunit ribosomal RNA", at positions 523 to 796 of the family's 1533-position model. The record is from RNAcentral.